RNAcentral lists this ribosomal RNA (301 nucleotides) under uncultured bacterium. Its description in RNAcentral is "partial 16S ribosomal RNA". It matches the Rfam family "Bacterial small subunit ribosomal RNA", at positions 509 to 807 of the family's 1533-position model. The record is from RNAcentral.
CAGUCGCCACGGUAAUACAGAGGGUGCGAGCGUUAAUCGGAUUUACUGGGCGUAAAGCGUGCGUAGGCGGCUUCUUAAGUCGGAUGUGAAAUCCCUGAGCUUAACUUAGGAAUUGCAUUCGAUACUGGGAAGCUAUAGUAUGGGAGAGGAUGGUAGAAUUCCAGGUGUAGCGGUGAAAUGCGUAGAGAUCUGGAGGAAUACCGAUGGCGAAGGCAGCCAUCUGGCCUAAUACUGACGCUGAGGUACGAAAGCAUGGGGAGCAAACAGGAUUAGAUACCCCCGUAGUCCCUGUCUCUUAUAC